GUAACAGGAAGCAGCUUGCUGCUUCGCUGACGAGUGGCGGACGGGUGAGUAAUGUCUGGGAAACUGCCUGAUGGAGGGGGAUAACUACUGGAAACGGUAGCUAAUACCGCAUAACGUCGCAAGACCAAAGAGGGGGACCUUCGGGCCUCUUGCCAUCGGAUGUGCCCAGAUGGGAUUAGCUAGUAGGUGGGGUAACGGCUCACCUAGGCGACGAUCCCUAGCUGGUCUGAGAGGAUGACCAGCCACACUGGAACUGAGACACGGUCCAGACUCCUACGGGAGGCAGCAGUGGGGAAUAUUGCACAAUGGGCGCAAGCCUGAUGCAGCCAUGCCGCGUGUAUGAAGAAGGCCUUCGGGUUGUAAAGUACUUUCAGCGGGGAGGAAGGUGUUGAGGUUAAUAACCUCAGCAAUUGACGUUCCCGCAGAAGAGCACCGGCUACUCCGUGCCACAGCCGCGGUAAUCCGAGGGUGCAAGCGUAAUCGGAAUUACUGGGCGUAAA
This 500-nucleotide ribosomal RNA is filed under the name uncultured bacterium. Its description in RNAcentral is "bacterial SSU rRNA". It matches the Rfam family "Bacterial small subunit ribosomal RNA", at positions 69 to 564 of the family's 1533-position model. The record is from RNAcentral.